This 315-nucleotide ribosomal RNA is filed under the name uncultured eukaryote. RNAcentral's name for it is "partial 18S ribosomal RNA". It matches the Rfam family "Eukaryotic small subunit ribosomal RNA", at positions 1470 to 1796 of the family's 1831-position model. The record is from RNAcentral.
CCCUUAGAUGUUCUGGGCUGCACGCGCGCUACACUGACGCACGCAACAGGUGCCUGCUCCGAGAGGACUGGGUAAUCAUUUGAGUGUGCGUCGUGAUGGGGAUAGAAUAUUGUAAUUAUUACUCUUCAACGAGGAAUUCCUAGUAAGCGUCAGUCAGCAGCUUGCGCUGAUUACGUCCCUGCCCUUUGUACACACCGCCCGUCGCUCCUACCGAUGGGUGAUCCGGUGAAUGAUUCGGACUUCAGCGGCUCCCCUGGGGUGCGCCGGAGAAAGUUUUGUGAACCUUAUCACUUGGAGGAAGGAGAAGUCGUAACA